GACGAACGCUGGCGGCGUGCCUAAUACAUGCAAGUAGAACGCUGAAGACUUUAGCUUGCUAAAGUUGGAAGAGUUGCGAACGGGUGAGUAACGCGUAGGUAACCUGCCUACUAGCGGGGGAUAACUAUUGGAAACGAUAGCUAAUACCGCAUAACAGCAUUUAACCCAUGUUAGAUGCUUGAAAGGAGCAAUUGCUUCACUAGUGGAUGGACCUGCGUUGUACUAGCUAGUUGGUGAGGUAACGGCUCACCAAGGCGACGAUACAUAGCCGACCUGAGGGGGUGAUCGGCCACACUGGGACUGAGACACGGCCCAGACUCCUACGGGAGGCAGCAGUAGGGAAUCUUCGGCAAUGGGGGCAACCCUGACCGAGCAACGCCGCGUGAGUGAAGAAGGUUUUCGGAUCGUAAAGCUCUGUUGUAAGAGAAGAACGUGUGUGAGAGUGG
RNAcentral lists this ribosomal RNA (446 nucleotides) under uncultured bacterium. RNAcentral describes it as "bacterial SSU rRNA". It matches the Rfam family "Bacterial small subunit ribosomal RNA", at positions 28 to 464 of the family's 1533-position model. The record is from RNAcentral.